UACGAAGGCAGCAGUGGGGAAUAUUGCACAAUGGGCGAAAGCCUGAUGCAGCUAUGCCGCGUGUAUGAAGAAGGCCUUAGGGUUGUAAAGUACUUUCAUCGGGGAGGAAAAACAAAACUAAUAAUUUUAUUUCUUGACGUUACCCGAAAAAGAAGCACCGGCUAACUCCGUGCCAGCAGCCGCGGUAAUACGGAGGGUGCUAGCGUUAAUCAGAAUUACUGGGCGUAAAGAGCACGUAGGUGGUUUUUUUAAGUCAGAUGUGAAAUCCCUGGGCUUAACCUAGGAACUGCAUUUUGAAACUGAAAUACUAGAGUAUCGUAGAGGGAGGUAGAAUUCUAGGUGUAGCGGUGAAAUGCGUAGAUAUCUGGAGGAAUACCUGUGGCGAAAGCGGCCUCCUAAACGAAUACUGACACUGAGGUGCGAAAGCGUGGGGAGCGAAACAGGGAUUAGAUACC
RNAcentral lists this ribosomal RNA (455 nucleotides) under uncultured bacterium. Its description in RNAcentral is "bacterial SSU rRNA". It matches the Rfam family "Bacterial small subunit ribosomal RNA", at positions 340 to 786 of the family's 1533-position model. The record is from RNAcentral.